RNAcentral lists this long non-coding RNA (519 nucleotides) under Homo sapiens (human). Its description in RNAcentral is "HSALNT0031068". Lineage: Eukaryota; Metazoa; Chordata; Mammalia; Primates; Hominidae. The record is from RNAcentral.
UGGACAGUCAGUCGUGUCCUAGCCCCUGAGGAUAUCGGAGGAGGUGGCUGCUCUGUUAGCCUAAGUCUCUGAGCAACAAAGAGACAGCUCAAGGAAGCAUGAUAAAAUGAGGCCUAAGAUAAUAUUUGAGGGGAAAGUUUAUUUUUUUAUGGUCUGUUUGCAUUACACCAUCGGGUGAAGAGAGGAGGAGAAAGACUUGUCCCAAAUGGCAGAGCUGGAGAAGCACAAAUCCAAUGUCAAUAGUUGGAAAUACAAGUGUGUGGUUUCAUUAAACUUCUUUUUUUAAAAAAAACUUUGUUCUUCCUUUUCCUGAGGCAGUCCAAGGGAAGGGGACACAGAGGUGGAAACAGACAGGGAGAGAGGAGGGAGCAAGCCAGGGCCAGCGAAGGGGGCUUGUCUUAAGGAACCUGCUCCCGCUGUGAGUGUCCUCAGCCAGCCCAGGAGGCUGGCAGGCCUGAUCAGAAGCAGCCAGCCAGAGCCUUCCGCUGAUUCCAAUGACGGCUGCUAAGCAGGGGCAGG